Molecule: ribosomal RNA, 468 nt
Filed under: uncultured bacterium
Lineage: Bacteria
Description: partial 16S ribosomal RNA
Rfam family: Bacterial small subunit ribosomal RNA
Source: RNAcentral
GACGAACGCUGGCGGCGUGCUUAACACAUGCAAGUCGAACGGAAAGGCCCUGCUUUUGUGGGGUGCUCGAGUGGCGAACGGGUGAGUAACACGUGAGUAACCUGCCCUUGACUUUGGGAUAACUUCAGGAAACUGGGGCUAAUACCGGAUAGGAGCUCCUGAUGCAUGGUGGGGGUUGGAAAGUUUCGGCGGCUGGGGAUGGACUCGCGGCUUAUCAGCUUGUUGGUGGGGUAGUGGCUUACAAAGGCUUUGACGGGUAGCCGGCCUGAGAGGGUGACCGGCGUCAUUGGGACUGCGGUACGGCCCAGACUCCUACGGUAGGCAGCAGUGGGGAAUAUUGCACAGUGGGCGGAAGCCUGAUGCAGCAACGCCGCGUGCGGGAUGACGGCCUUCUGGUUGUAAACCGCUUUCUCCUGUGACGAAGCGGGAUUGACGGUAAUGGGUAAAGAAGCACCGGCUAACUACGUG